RNAcentral lists this ribosomal RNA (324 nucleotides) under uncultured bacterium. Its description in RNAcentral is "bacterial SSU rRNA". It matches the Rfam family "Bacterial small subunit ribosomal RNA", at positions 28 to 334 of the family's 1533-position model. The record is from RNAcentral.
GAUGAACGCUGGCGGCGUGCUUAACACAUGCAAGUCGAGCGAAGCGCCUUUUUAGAACUCUUCGGAGGGAAGAGAGGGUGACUUAGCGGCGGACGGGUGAGUAACGCGUGGGCAACCUGCCUUACACAGGGGGAUAACAAUUAGAAAUGAUUGCUAAUACCGCAUAAGACCCCAGUACCGCAUGGUACAGGGGUAAAAACUGAGGUGGUGUAAGAUGGGCCCGCGUCUGAUUAGGUAGUUGGUGGGGUAGAAGCCUACCAAGCCGACGAUCAGUAGCCGACCUGAGAGGGCGACCGGCCACAUUGGGACUGAGACACGGCCCAA